CUGGCUAUACUGGCUUACUGACCGAAUGUGUUCGGUUGACACAAGUUCUCCAUUUGACGUAUGGUUCAAUGAACCCAUGGAUAUCGAGAUCUCGACUAGUCCUCUAGUGCUUGCUCCCAUUUCCUCAAUUCCGAUUGGAAAGCACUUCAGCCGCCAAACAAUGGUGAAAGGAGAAAAAUAAAGAAAAUAACUACCGGACACCGAGAAACACACAUAAAUUUAUAGUUGAGCCAUGGAAAACAAUGAGAUGGAAAAGCGGUCGGCUUUCUUUUCCAUUCAUCCGGAUCCGGAUCCCCGACUGAAGUGAUUUCCGUUGUUUUUCGUUGUGCUGCGAGCGUUGGUGCAUUCAAUGGAGUGCACUCUCCUCGCAAAGGAGCACUUGAACUGCAGCAAGAAAAGAC
Non-coding RNA from Drosophila melanogaster (fruit fly), 401 nucleotides. NCBI's taxonomy places the organism in Eukaryota, Metazoa, Arthropoda, Insecta, Diptera, Drosophilidae. The record is from Ensembl.